RNAcentral lists this ribosomal RNA (493 nucleotides) under uncultured bacterium. Its description in RNAcentral is "partial 16S ribosomal RNA". It matches the Rfam family "Bacterial small subunit ribosomal RNA", at positions 29 to 507 of the family's 1533-position model. The record is from RNAcentral.
ACGAACGCUGGCGGCGUGCUUAACACAUGCAAGUCGAACGGUGAAGCGCCUUCCUUUUUGGUGGGUGUGGAUGAGUGGCGAACGGGUGAGUAACACGUGAGUAACCUGCCCCCUUCUUCUGGAUAACCGCAUGAAAGUGUGGCUAAUACGGGAUAUUCUGGGUCUGUCGCAUGAUGGGUCUGGGAAAGAUAUUGUUUCGGUGGGGGAUGGGCUCGCGGCCUAUCGGCUUGGUGGUGGGGUGAUGGCCUACCAAGGCGGUGACGGGUAGCCGGCCUGAGAGGGUGGACGGUCACACUGGGACUGAGACACGGCCCAGACUCCUACGGGAGGCAGCAGUGGGGAAUAUUGCACAAUGGGCGCAAGCCUGAUGCAGCGACGCCGCGUGAGGGAUGGAGGCCUUCGGGUUGUGAACCUCUUUCGCCAGUGAAGCAGGCCUGCCUCGUUUGUGGGUGGGUUGACGGUAGCUGGAUAAGAAGCGCCGGCUAACUACGUG